RNAcentral lists this ribosomal RNA (450 nucleotides) under uncultured Alteromonadaceae bacterium. RNAcentral describes it as "bacterial SSU rRNA". It matches the Rfam family "Bacterial small subunit ribosomal RNA", at positions 1077 to 1532 of the family's 1533-position model. Lineage: Bacteria; Pseudomonadati; Pseudomonadota; Gammaproteobacteria; Alteromonadales; Alteromonadaceae. The record is from RNAcentral.
UGGGUAGUCCGCACGAGCGCACCUUGAUCCUUAGUUGCCAGCAUUCAGUUGGGCACUCUAAGGAGACUGCCGGUGACAAACCGGAGGAAGGUGGGGACGACGUCUAGUCAUCAUGGCCCUUACGUGUAGGGCUACACACGUGCUACAAUGGCAUUUACAGAGGGAAGCGAGACAGUGAUGUGGAGCGGACCCCUUAAAGAAUGUCGUAGUCCGGAUUGGAGUCUGCAACUCGACUCCAUGAAGUCGGAAUCGCUAGUAAUCGCAGGUCAGAAUACUGCGGUGAAUACGUUCCCGGGCCUUGUACACACCGCCCGUCACACCAUGGGAGUGGGAUGCAAAAGAAGUAGUUAGUCUAACCUUCGGGAGGACGAUUACCACUUUGUGUGUCAUGACUGGGGUGAAGUCGUAACAAGGUAACCCUAGGGGAACCUGGGGUUGGAUCACCUCCUU